RNAcentral lists this ribosomal RNA (253 nucleotides) under uncultured bacterium. RNAcentral's name for it is "partial 16S ribosomal RNA". It matches the Rfam family "Bacterial small subunit ribosomal RNA", at positions 524 to 776 of the family's 1533-position model. The record is from RNAcentral.
UACGGAGGGUGCAAGCGUUAAUCGGAAUUACUGGGCGUAAAGCGUGCGCAGGCGGUUUGUUAAGUCCGCUGUGAAAUCCCCGAGCUCAACUUGGGAAUUGCAGUGGAUACUGGCAAGCUGGAGUAUGGUAGAGGAAGGUGGAAUUCCCGGUGUAGCAGUGAAAUGCGUAGAUAUCGGGAGGAACACCUGUGGCGAAAGCGGCGCACUGGACCAUAACUGACGCUGAGGCGCGAAAGCUAGGGGAGCAAACAGG